GACGAACCGCGCGAACGUUAUUCGGAAUCACUGGGCUUAAAGCGCGUGUAGGCGGGGCGGCACGUCGGUCGCUGAAAGCCCCCGGCUCAACCGGGGAACGGGCGCCGAUACGACCGCCCUGGAGGGACGUAGGGGGACCUGGAACUUCCGGUGGAGCGGUGAAAUGCGUUGAGAUCGGAAGGAACGCCCGUGGCGAAAGCGAGGUCCUGGACGUCUGCUGACGCUGAGACGCGAAAGCCAGGGGAGCGAACGGG
Molecule: ribosomal RNA, 254 nt
Filed under: uncultured bacterium
Lineage: Bacteria
Description: partial 16S ribosomal RNA
Rfam family: Bacterial small subunit ribosomal RNA
Source: RNAcentral